UACUGGUCUUGUUGGAGUCUUGCUAAUCCUCAAAUAGAAUGGACACUCAGGUUUGCAGGCCACCACCACCCUCUUCUUGUCGUUCUUAAUAAUUUUCGCAUCCUUUUUGUUUUCUAGUGCAUAAUCCUUGACACCAUCUUUGAAUAGGUCCUUGUUAGUGAAAGUCAGUCCACACUCAAAUUGGACUAUACCACUUUCAGAGGGCUUAAACCUACGAUAUUUUGGCUUAGGCUCCAGCUCAUCACCACUCUCAGAACCUGUGUCUAAGUCUUCUGAAUCACCAUCUUCAUCUUCAAAGUCAGAGGCAUCCUUUUUGUUUUCUAGUGCAUAAUCCUUGACACCAUCUUUGAAUAGGUCCUUGUUAGUGAAAGUCAGUCCACACUCAAAUUGUACUAUACCACUUUCAGAGGGCUUAAACCUGCGAUAUUUUGGCUUAGGCUCCAGUUCAUCACCACUCUCAGAACCUGUGUCUAAGUCUUCUGAAUCACCAUCUUCAUCUUCA
Molecule: long non-coding RNA, 502 nt
Filed under: Lotus japonicus
Lineage: Eukaryota; Viridiplantae; Streptophyta; Magnoliopsida; Fabales; Fabaceae
Description: long non-coding RNA (LJAP_LNC000905)
Source: RNAcentral